RNAcentral lists this long non-coding RNA (1120 nucleotides) under Homo sapiens (human). Its description in RNAcentral is "HSALNT0086986". The record is from RNAcentral. Lineage: Eukaryota; Metazoa; Chordata; Mammalia; Primates; Hominidae.
GAAGAAGAGGAGCCUGAGAUAGCAAGCUCAGCCCAUUGCCCUGUGAUCCCCUGCAGCACCUCAGGACUGCAGUGUCCUCACGGAUGAGAAGACUCACAUAAGAAUCAAUCUCUCACCCCUGGACUUCCCAGCCUCCAGAACGUUUUUUGACUGUGGAGGUGGAACUUUUGGAUACAAAAUGCUGAUUAUAUGCUGAGAAAGGAUAAAGAAGGAAAUGUCUUAAAUAGAAGAAAACAUAAGAAGAUAGAAACUGCAGAGGACAGAGGACCACUGUAUGCCCUGAAGACAUCACUAAAGUGGCACAUGAAGCACACUUUUGAACACUCAGGAAGAAAUUCCUGACAAUCAAUGGACACAGAAAAACAUUAUUAAGUAAAACUUGUGGUGACUCUUUUGCUAGGCAGUGGGGCAUAGUGGUUAAAAAUUUGGGACUUGGGAGCCAUUUCCAAAAAGAAAAAAAAAUAAUGAACAAAAAAGUUCGUGGAGCUGCUUCCUGCGGAAAUCAUGAAAAAUGCCAUUGAAAGUCAAAGCCCUGCACUAAUAACUAAUUAUUUGUCCUUGAACAAGUUAUUUGUGAAUACAGAACCCAUAGAUACGAAAGGCCAACUGUACUUAUUGAAAACAAUCCAGGUAUAACUAGACCCGCACAGUUCAAACCCAUGUUGUUCAAGGGUCAACUGUAUAAUUCACUUAAUCCCUAGAGCAACUGUAAGAGCUAGAUACGAUUGUUAUCCUUGUUUUGUAGGAGAGGAAAGUGAGGCACAGAAGUGUGGUUCAAGGACCAGAAGCAUCUGCAUCACUUGGGAGUUUGUGAGAAAUGCAUAAUCUUAAGGCCCACCUCAGAUUGCUAAAUUGGAAUCUGCUUUUUAAUAAAAUUAGCAGAUUCCUACAAAUAUUAAAGUAUCAGAAGCACCUGGCUAAAACCAUCUUCCCAAAAGUGGUGGAAGGGGAUUUCAAGCCUUACAGGUCUCACUCUACACUGUACUGUAUAAGCCUCUUUGCAUUAGAAAAUUAAUGUAAAGUGCCUAGCAUAUUAUAAGUAAUAAACAUUGUCCAUCAUUAUAAUAUUUUAGGAAUAGUUUGUACAUAUUUCUACCUGGAAGUAAAACUAUUUAUUUAU